GUGGCUUCUAGGUGGAGUCUAAGGUCCCUGGCUGGAUUGAGCGGGUCCUUGGUAUUAAGCAAGAGGAGGUGCAGGCCCAGCUUCAUGACCUGGAACACAGAAUCGUGAGUCAUGUGGCCCAAGAGUGGCCCAAGUCUGUGAGCAAAGCUGCUGCCAUCUUAAGACUGAGCCUUCUGAAGGAAGGAAUGACCACCGGCGUGACGAAGGAGGUGAGGCCUGCCCCACUGGCUGUCCUCCUGGCUGGGGUCACUGGUUUGCCCUCAGAAGAGCCUGCCAGGAGGGAGGGGAAAACCCUGGCUGAGCAGGUAGCAUGCUUGCCCGCCCCCCACAUGGGCUGGGCUAGCCCUGCAGGUGACCUGGCCCCUGAGUAGUGCAUGCCUGUCUUUUAGGAAGUGAACCAGAUCAUAAAGCAGGCCCUGAAAGAACACAGUGAAGAUCGAAUCGGGCUUGUGGAUUAUGCCCUGGAGUCCUCAGGUAGGUGGCCUGCAGAAAGCCAGAGGGCUUGGGACAAAAGGGAUUGGCAAAUCAGGAUGGACCUUAGGAGACAGGAGGAACUGACAAAUCAAGAUGCCCCCUAUGGGCCGUGGCAGUUAAGAGGGGUGAUUCCCAGGCAGCACCCCCUCACCUUGAGGGCUGCCUUAAGCCAUCUCUGUGUCCUCCCAACUCUCAGGACCCCCCCUCCCCACACACUUCUCUCCAUGUUGCUCUUUCAGGAGCCAGCAUUGUCAGUAGCGGCUCGUCAGAGACAUACGGCAUCAGGACGGAGUGGUCUGCCCAUUUCACUCUGUUGGGCAUCCCAUUGUGGCGCUAUUUCCAGUCGCCAAGAGUCAUCCUCCAGCCAGAUGUCUACCCUGGCAACUGCUGGGCAUUCCGGGGCCCGCGGGGCUUUGUCGUGGUGCGCUUGUCUGCUCGGAUCCAGCUCACUGCCAUCACUUUGGAGCACGUGCCCAAAGCCCUGUCCCCAAACAGUGACAUCCCCAGUGCCCCAAAGGACUUUGUCAUCUUGGGUCUCAAUGAAGAUUCCCAGAUGGAGGGGGUUGCCCUGGGGCAGUUCACCUAUGAGAAUGCUGGGGAGGCCAUUCAGACCUUCCCCUUUCAGGUAUGGAGGGUUGAUCCCACAGCAGGGAUGCAGGCGUGUUGGUGAUCUCCAGGGCUGGAUCACCAGCCACUGGGACGCGGUGGCUUGGCAAGUGGCUGCAGUGGAAG
This 1206-nucleotide long non-coding RNA is filed under the name Vombatus ursinus (common wombat). Its description in RNAcentral is "lncRNA (ENSVURG00010019860.1)". Lineage: Eukaryota; Metazoa; Chordata; Mammalia; Diprotodontia; Vombatidae. The record is from RNAcentral.